Molecule: ribosomal RNA, 253 nt
Filed under: uncultured bacterium
Lineage: Bacteria
Description: partial 16S ribosomal RNA
Rfam family: Bacterial small subunit ribosomal RNA
Source: RNAcentral
UACGUAUGGUGCAAGCGUUAUCCGGAAUGACUGGGUGUAAAGGGAGCGUAGACGGUUGUUCAAGUCUGAUGUGAAAGCCCUCGGCUUAACUGGGGGAGUGCAGUUGAAACUGGCAGUCUUGAGUACAGUAGAGGUGGGCGGAAUUCGUGGUGUAGCGGUGAAAUGCUUAGAUAUCACGAAGAACUCCGAUUGCGAAGGCAGCUCACUGGACUGCAACUGACACUGAGGCUCGAAAGUGUGGGUAUCAAACAGG